RNAcentral lists this ribosomal RNA (425 nucleotides) under uncultured bacterium. RNAcentral's name for it is "bacterial SSU rRNA". It matches the Rfam family "Bacterial small subunit ribosomal RNA", at positions 354 to 796 of the family's 1533-position model. The record is from RNAcentral.
GUUGGGAAUCUUGCGCAAUGGGCGAAAGCCUGACGCAGCGACGCCGCGUGCGGGAUGACGGUCUUCGGACUGUAAACCGCUUUUCUUGGGGACGAUGAUGACGGUACCUGAGGAAGAAGCCCCGGCUAACUCCGUGCCAGCAGCCGCGGUAAGACGGGGGGGGCAAGCGUUAUCCGGAAUUACUGGGCGUAAAGCGCACGUAGGCGGCCUGGUACGGCGGUGGUGAAAGCUCCCGGCUCAACUGGGAGAGGUCCGCCGCACCGGCUGGGCUCGAGGGUGGUAGAGGUUGAUGGAAUUCCUGGUGUAGCGGUGAAAUGCGUAGAGAUCAGGAGGAACACCCGUGGCGAAGGCGGUCAACUGGGCCACGCCUGACGCUGAGGUGCGAAAGCCAGGGGAGCGAACGGGAUUAGAAACCCCGGUAGUCC